GUAGAAACAGUCUGUGUUGAUUUCAG
RNAcentral lists this non-coding RNA (26 nucleotides) under Cricetulus griseus (Chinese hamster). The record is from RNAcentral. Lineage: Eukaryota; Metazoa; Chordata; Mammalia; Rodentia; Cricetidae.